AUUAUGUUUAGCUAACCAAGAAGGAGAGGCUCAAGUGAUAAGGAAAAGCUAAGCAGGUGUAAUUAGUACUAGCUUUCAGGUAUUUUGUUGAGGUUCGAGCGGAUUGUACGAAGAAUGUAUACGCAUGAUAUUGGUUUUGCAAAGGUUCAGGUGGAUUGUAUGAAGAAUAUAUAUAAACAUGACAUUUGGUUUUAUGGAGGUUCAAUUGUAUUGUACGGAGAUACUUGUGCAUAUUUAUAUGAUAACCCUACAUGGGUUCUUUCAAGUAUAAGACUCUGCGGAGUCUAAGGCUUAAAGCCUCAUAUGCAUAAGCAAACCCUUGGCCAUGGCAUAUGUAAGUUAUGUAAGUCCAUCGGACUUGUUCUUUAAGUUUUAUGUUAAAGUUAUAAGAUUUCACCAUGUCAAGUCCGUAACAAAAA
Molecule: long non-coding RNA, 419 nt
Organism: Gossypium arboreum
Lineage: Eukaryota; Viridiplantae; Streptophyta; Magnoliopsida; Malvales; Malvaceae
Exons: 2
Source: RefSeq, a predicted model, not a curated record